RNAcentral lists this ribosomal RNA (253 nucleotides) under uncultured bacterium. Its description in RNAcentral is "partial 16S ribosomal RNA". It matches the Rfam family "Bacterial small subunit ribosomal RNA", at positions 524 to 776 of the family's 1533-position model. The record is from RNAcentral.
UACGAAGGGUGCAAGCGUUACUCGGAAUUACUGGGCGUAAAGCGUGCGUAGGAGGUUCGUUAAGUCUGAUGUGAAAGCCCUGGGCUCAACCUGGGAAUGGCAUUGGAAACUGGCGGGCUAGAGUAUGGCAGAGGGUAAUGGAAUUCCCGGUGUAGCAGUGAAAUGCGUAGAGAUCGGGAGGAACAUCCGUGGCGAAGGCGGUCACCUAGCCCAACACUGACACUGAGGCGCGAAAGCGUGGGGAGCAAACAGG